CCAGAGCGAGCUACCAUGCAGUCGAGCGGGGAAGGUGCUUUGCUACCUGACCUAGCGGCGGACGGGUGAGUAAUGCUUAGGAAUCUGCCUAUUAGUGGGGGACAACAUUCCGAAAGGAAUGCUAAUACCGCAUACGCCCUACGGGGGAAAGCAGGGGAUCUUCGGACCUUGCGCUAAUAGAUGAGCCUAAGUCGGAUUAGCUAGUUGGUGGGGUAAAGGCCUACCAAGGCGACGAUCUGUAGCGGGUCUGAGAGGAUGAUCCGCCACACUGGGACUGAGACACGGCCCAGACUCCUACGGGAGGCAGCAGUGGGGAAUAUUGGACAAUGGGCGGAAGCCUGAUCCAGCCAUGCCGCGUGUGUGAAGAAGGCCUUUUGGUUGUAAAGCACUUUAAGCGAGGAGGAGGCUCCUUUAGUUAAUACCUAAAGAGAGUGGACGUUACUCGCAGAAUAAGCACCGGCUAACUCUGUGCCAGCAGCCGCGGUAAUACAGAGGGUGCGAGCGUUAAUCGGAUUUACUGGGCGUAAAGCGUGCGUAGGCGGCUUUUUAAGUCGGAUGUGAAAUCCCUGAGCUUAACUUAGGAAUUGCAUUCGAUACUGGAAAGCUAGAGUAUGGGAGAGGAUGGUAGAAUUCCAGGUGUAGCGGUGAAAUGCGUAGAGAUCUGGAGGAAUACCGAUGGCGAAGGCAGCCAUCUGGCCUAAUACUGACGCUGAGGUACGAAAGCAUGGGGAGCAAACAGGAUUAGAUACCCUGGUAGUCCAUGCCGUAAACGAUGUCUACUAGCCGUUGGGGGCCUUUGAGGCUUUAGUGGCGCAGCUAACGCGAUAAGUAGACCCCCUGGGGAGUACGGUCGCAAGACUAAAACUCAAAUGAAUUGACCGGGGCCCGCCACAAGCGGUGGGACAUGUGGGUUUAAUCGAUUGCACGGCGAAGAACCUUACCUGGC
RNAcentral lists this ribosomal RNA (946 nucleotides) under Acinetobacter radioresistens. RNAcentral describes it as "bacterial SSU rRNA". It matches the Rfam family "Bacterial small subunit ribosomal RNA", at positions 42 to 979 of the family's 1533-position model. Lineage: Bacteria; Pseudomonadati; Pseudomonadota; Gammaproteobacteria; Moraxellales; Moraxellaceae. The record is from RNAcentral.